GAAGUGAUCACCAGCCACCUUAAGGCGCCGGCCACACUGCAGCUCAGGUGGUUGAGAGGCCUCCGGCUUUGCGUCUUCAUUUAUUCCGGUCUACAACACCUAAACCUCCCUUGUCGGGCGUGGAGAACGGUUUCGAUUAUUCGGCAUACUUCAGAAUUCUGAGACCCAGGGCUGGACACAAACAAACAAAAAACAUGAAGAAUAAAUUUAGCUGUGGACAGAGCUCAGAGGGAGUGCACAAGGUCCUGGGUCUGAGUCUCAGUACCCAUGAUGAGACCCUGCUAGGACAAAGCCAGCUCUGCCCCCAGGCGUCAGAACAGCUCUCCAGUUACCAUGGGGCACAAGCUUGCUGAUGGCAAAGCAGAUGCAUUUUCAUGAGACACCAGGCUCUGUUUCUACUGUAAUAAAGAUGACUCCACGUCACAAGGACCAAAUAGCAUGUUACAAAAUACACUCAAACGGUUUGCAACUGAUCUUCUCACAGGAAACAUUUCAACCAUGGAAACUAUCUCACUGCCUCAUUUCAAUAAAGGAUCCAAAAUAUCUAGGCC
Molecule: long non-coding RNA, 551 nt
Organism: Mus musculus (house mouse)
Lineage: Eukaryota; Metazoa; Chordata; Mammalia; Rodentia; Muridae
Product: RIKEN cDNA 4732416N19 gene
Exons: 2
Source: RefSeq, marked predicted